GGACCCGCACAAGUAGUGGAGCAUGUGGUUUAAUUCGAAGCAACGCGAAAAACCUUACCUGGUCUUGACAUCCUGCGAACUUUUUAGAGAUAGAAAGGUGCCUUCGGGAACGCAGUGACAGGUGCUGCAUGGCUGUCGUCAGCUCGUGUUGUGAAAUGUUGGUUAAGUCCCGUAACGAGCGCAACCCUUGUCCUUAUUUGCCAGCACGUAAUGGUGGGAACUCUAAGGAGACUGCCGGUGACAAACCGGAGGAAGGUGGGGACGACGUCAAGUCAUCAUGGCCCUUACGACCAGGGCUACACACGUGCUACAAUGGGGCGUACAGAGGGUUGCGAAGCCGCGAGGUGGAGCC
This 352-nucleotide ribosomal RNA is filed under the name uncultured bacterium. Its description in RNAcentral is "bacterial SSU rRNA". It matches the Rfam family "Bacterial small subunit ribosomal RNA", at positions 917 to 1269 of the family's 1533-position model. The record is from RNAcentral.